Molecule: transfer RNA, 73 nt
Filed under: marine sediment metagenome
Rfam family: tRNA
About the family: Transfer RNA (tRNA) molecules are approximately 80 nucleotides in length. Their secondary structure includes four short double-helical elements and three loops (D, anti-codon, and T loops). Further hydrogen bonds mediate the characteristic L-shaped molecular structure. tRNAs have two regions of fundamental functional importance: the anti-codon, which is responsible for specific mRNA codon recognition, and the 3' end, to which the tRNAs corresponding amino acid is attached (by aminoacyl-tRNA synthetases). tRNAs cope with the degeneracy of the genetic code in two manners: having more than one tRNA (with a specific anti-codon) for a particular amino acid; and 'wobble' base-pairing, i.e. permitting non-standard base-pairing at the 3rd anti-codon position.
Source: RNAcentral
GGGGCCGUAGCUCAGUUGGGAGAGCGACAGGCUGGCAGUCUGUAGGUCGUGGGUUCGAGUCCCACCGGCUCCA